AUCCACUUUCCUUCCCUUUUCCUUGUUGCACAUACCCUUUCCUCUUUCCUAAACCCUUGCCACGUAUCCUCUUUCCCUUUUCCCUUGGAUUCUGAUUUGACUUAGCCUUUUUCCUUGUGGAUUUAGAGUUAAAAUCUUUCUACAAUAAUUAAAACUUAAUUCCUUUCCCUUUAUUUUCUGCCGCACCCUAGCCUUAAUUCCCUAGGGUUUUGACAUACUUUGCUAUAAAUAAAAGCCUUUGCCGAACCAUUCAAAUCAUCCAUUCACUAUCAUUCACUCUUAGCCAUUCUUCUAUACAAUUCAUCAAUUCAACCUUCACCCACACCUUGUGCCGCAGCAAAGGAGGAGAAUGAGGAGCCUUGGACGUAUUGGCCAUUCAAGUUAGAUUGCUGGACGUUUUUAAGUGUAAUCUAUUUUAGUUCUCAAUGUUUAAUUUAUAUUCUCUUUGUUUUGCUGUGAACAUGAGAGGCUAAACUCGUUUUAGCUAGAGGAGACUUUGAAACCAUGAUUAUAUAUGCAAUAUGAGUUGGUUAUUUCCAGUUAUAAUUUUGUGAAUUGUGAAUGCAAUUGACUUAAUUGUUUGAUUCAAAACUUAUUCUUGUAUGUUUAUUAAGGAGGCCUACUUAGUUUGCAUGCAUGAAUUUGAUGCUAGGAUAUAAGGGAGUUUCACAUAAUCGUUACAAACUUAUAUUCACAAGUAGUGAAGGUCGCUGGUCACGAUCAUGUUAAGUUAAAUUCCUGGCAUGAGUAUCAUGAUGUCAUAGUUGCGAAUGCCUUGUCAAUGCUUAUGAUUUUCACAGAGCUUAAUGAUCUUUGCUUGUGUCUCUAUUAUGCAGUUCAUGUAGGGAACUUGGGAAGAAUAAUUUGGUUGUCGAUGCGUUGUCCGUCCAAUUCAAUGACUUAAGGAAAAUCUGAGGGUUAAUUAGUGAUGACAUGGUUAAUGUGGGGCAUUGUCAUUCAUGGUUUAUUGAAAGAGUAACUUGAACAAUCAAUUCGUGUGCAUAUGAGUCAUGUGUGGAGAAGGACCCUCUAGCUAGCCCAUCAUCCAUUAAUUCACCCAAUUUCGUCCAAACUUUGUUUAAGUUUACAAUAUGCUUGUUUUUACUUUAAAUUCGUCAAAAACCCAAUUCCCCUUUACUUUAUUGUGUUAAGGUAGUUAGAAUCUGUCCAAUUUGUGUU
This 1179-nucleotide long non-coding RNA is filed under the name Malus domestica (apple). RNAcentral's name for it is "long non-coding RNA (MDOM_LNC016812)". The record is from RNAcentral. Lineage: Eukaryota; Viridiplantae; Streptophyta; Magnoliopsida; Rosales; Rosaceae.